UAACAGUAAGAAAAUUGAAAAAGGGUCUGGUCACUAAGGGGGUAAACAUCCAUCCCUCCUGACAACAAUAUCUUCCUUUCCUCCCACUUGGUUGGUUAUCACUUUUCUGUAACCAGUCAAUGAUAUUCACCCUUCUGUCUCAUCUCUAAUAUGUUCUCUUCACUGUAUUCCAUUUUUCACAUAUCUAGUUCUUAAAACAACUUCCUUUUAUACUCUUUCUUUCCAUUCCCCUGCAGGAUUCACCUUCCUUAUAUUUCACUACACACUGACAUAUUCUGCUCCAAACCCCCACAAUGUCACUCCAUACCUCCUGAGGAUAACCCAGAUAUCAUAAAAUGUUAUUGCAAGCUUGUUUGUAUUUCAUAGAUUAGAAUUCUAGUUUUUAUUGAUAUCCAUAGAAAAG
This is a non-coding RNA of Pelobates cultripes (western spadefoot toad), 403 nucleotides long. The record is from the annotation of a GenBank genome assembly. Lineage: Eukaryota; Metazoa; Chordata; Amphibia; Anura; Pelobatidae.